This 163-nucleotide ribosomal RNA is filed under the name Chaerophyllum elegans. RNAcentral describes it as "5.8S ribosomal RNA". It matches the Rfam family "5.8S ribosomal RNA". From Rfam's summary of the family: 5.8S ribosomal RNA (5.8S rRNA) is a component of the large subunit of the eukaryotic ribosome. It is transcribed by RNA polymerase I as part of the 45S precursor that also contains 18S and 28S rRNA. Functionally, it is thought that 5.8S rRNA may be involved in ribosome translocation. RNAcentral also lists the same sequence under 3 other names. Lineage: Eukaryota; Viridiplantae; Streptophyta; Magnoliopsida; Apiales; Apiaceae. The record is from RNAcentral.
AAACGACUCUCGGCAACGGAUAUCCCGGCUCUCGCAUCGAUGAAGAACGUAGCGAAAUGCGAUACUUGGUGUGAAUUGCAGAAUCCCGUGAACCAUUGAGUCUUUGAACGCAAGUUGCGCCCGAAGCCAUUAGGCUGAGGGCACGUCUGCCUGGGUGUCACGC